RNAcentral lists this ribosomal RNA (70 nucleotides) under Ligilactobacillus aviarius. RNAcentral describes it as "Lactobacillus aviarius partial 16S ribosomal RNA". It matches the Rfam family "Bacterial small subunit ribosomal RNA", at positions 1 to 67 of the family's 1533-position model. Lineage: Bacteria; Bacillati; Bacillota; Bacilli; Lactobacillales; Lactobacillaceae. The record is from RNAcentral.
UUAUAAAUUGAGAGUUUGAUCCUGGCUCAGGACGAACGCUGGCGGCGUGCCUAAUACAUGCAAGUCGAAC